RNAcentral lists this ribosomal RNA (497 nucleotides) under uncultured bacterium. RNAcentral describes it as "partial 16S ribosomal RNA". It matches the Rfam family "Bacterial small subunit ribosomal RNA", at positions 28 to 507 of the family's 1533-position model. The record is from RNAcentral.
GAUGAACGCUGGCGGCGUGCCUAAUACAUGCAAGUCGAGCGAACGGACGAGAAGCUUGCUUCUCUGAUGUUAGCGGCGGACGGGUGAGUAACACGUGGAUAACCUACCUAUAAGACUGGGAUAACUUCGGGAAACCGGAGCUAAUACCGGAUAAUAUUUUGAACGGCAUGGUUCAAAAGUGAAAGACGGCCUUGCUGUCACUUAUAGAUGGAUCCGCGCUGCAUUAGCUAGUUGGUAAGGUAACGGCUUACCAAGGCAACGAUGCAUAGCCGACCUGAGAGGGUGAUCAGCCACACUGGAACUGAGACACGGUCCAGACUCCUACGGGAGGCAGCAGUAGGGAAUCUUCCGCAAUGGGCGAAAGCCUGACGGAGCAACGCCGCGUGAGUGAUGAAGGUCUUCGGAUCGUAAAGCUCUUUUAUUAGGGAAGAACAUAUGUGUAAUUAACUGUGCACAUCUUGACGGUACCUAAUCAGAAAGCCACGGCUAACUUCGUG